UCGUCAUGAAAUCCUCAUCCCAAAAGUAACGCGACCAGGGGCGCGGUAAAACCCUAUUUCCCGGGCUCAUGACGAUUUAGAUUAGUAAAUUUUUCUUUUCUCAGAAUAUGCACAAACCAGAACAAACCAAUUUUGUCCUUGUAGAUAGUCUGUAAAUAUAGCUUCUUAAUGUUUCGUGUGCGAUUAAGCCUAUUUUAGUCAAUACAAUAGGCUAGAAUCCGAUUUGAGUGUUUUGCCGUAGGAUUCGUGGAAGCUGGACAAGGACAUUGGUCAGAGACGAUUUGUGAGGUCGAAGAUUUUGCCAGGCGCAGCUGGCGUGAAGUUUAGUUCAGCAUUAGGAUUAUGCAGUUUGGAGGAUAGAGAAGAUUUGGCAAGCGACCAAGGCUUGCGUAUGAGUUUGGUUUUAGUUGAGGAAAAGAUGUAACUUGAGGUCUGCUCAAGAGUUAGGUUGACCGACUUGUCUCUGACCAUCAUCCUAGAAGGAUGACUGAAGAUUUUGUGAAUUUUUCAUAAAUCGUUUGAUCACCGAUUUAUGAAAAAUUCUUCCGCUACGGUAGAGUUGUGUUACGUUUAAGUUAUUUCGUUAGAUAGUAUGCUUUGAGAAUCUAAUCAGUAAGUUAGUAAACGAUAAAGAAACACAACAUUGUAAAAGCACAUUGCUCCGUGAAACACAUUUCGAGAACCUCUGCACAGCCUUUUCAUGCCACCACAGACAGCAGGUAAUAGCUAUCAUUCAAUGAUGAUCAGCCAAUCAUUAGCUUCAGCAUACAAGACCGGUCGAUGGGGGAAAAGCGGCAACACAGCAAACUCACAUCACCACGACGCCGUUGGUAACAGCCUCCACACAAUGAGAGAGAACUUUUCGUUGGAGUUGAUCGAGCACACACACGAACCACGCCGUGAGAAUGGAAUAGUGUAUUGCACUUCGAGAGAAGGCGAAAUAUGAUCGACGAUCGGCUCCAUCAUCCCGCCACAUGGAGGGGAAGCACACGACGACCCGACACUCACACAGUCUACACUCGGUGGCGAGGCGAGCUCGCAAUCGCAAGCAAAACGGGAUUGCUUCAAUCGACGUCCAUCCGUGAAGCAAGUCAAGUGUGCAGUCCGUUUCUCCUUUUCGGAAUCCGCAAAACGACAGUUCGGUCAUACGGGAACGCGUGAAUAAGUGCCGGUGAUAUUAUCCAACGGAGAAUCUGUCCCCGCCAGCAUCAAUCCGGAGACCAUUGAGCAAAUAAAGCGAGUCACCACGCCAAGACCACGCGGACAGAAUUAUUCUAGAAUCCGAACUUUUACAACGAGAUUGAUCGUCGGCCAGCGGUGUAGGAUCCCGCAGUGACGAGAGCAGAUCACUGACACGCGGAACGGAUAGGAUCAUUCGAUCGGAGGAAGACCUAAUCGGAAGGCAGAAACGGGAGACCCGAAGUCAGCCAAACAGAUUACCAUCGAGUGCGAUUCGUGUUCCGUCCGAUUACACAGCCGGAGUUAAGGACGUUCGGAACCGGUAGGGCAGAGGCGACAGAAACCGGACCUCGUCGUAGAUCAGAGAGCCCCUCAAGAGGGUAAGUUUGAUGCCGCCAGACCUGCAGAGACGUAUCGAUAACGCCCCAACGCCUGCAGGGCUCUUUUUUCUUGUAGUUUCAUCCGCUCAACGAGCGCCGAGGACGAGCGAGGUCGCGAGGGUCGCGAUGCCGUAAAUCGAUAUUCCGUCCGGCCUAUCACCGAUUGCGAGUUGGUCAGAAGGAGGAACACCAACCAAACCGACGCGGUCGACGCCAAUACACGCAUUGAGAGGAGUUUUGGUCGGCAAUCCGUCGAUCGAGGGUCCGCAGACAUGUUCGCUGGGAAAACAACGGCGGCGCAGCAUCAGCGGAGCCAAGGAAGGCCCACACUGGAAGGAUGUCCGGUGGAGUAAGAGCAUGCAGAGUCCGUGAGUGCUAGAAUUAAGAGCAAUGUUGUUAGCCUAGGAGUUAAGCGCAGCGUAGGAGGUAAUAGGACCCCAGAAUAGGAGGCCAUGUUUGGCGAAAUACUAAAUACAUGUAUUUAA
Molecule: long non-coding RNA, 2044 nt
Organism: Aedes albopictus (Asian tiger mosquito)
Lineage: Eukaryota; Metazoa; Arthropoda; Insecta; Diptera; Culicidae
Exons: 3
Source: RefSeq, a predicted model, not a curated record